GAAGCAAAGAGAGCUGUGUUUUCCAUGCCUAGCGACAAGGCACCGGGCCCUGAUGGAUUCACGGGUGCCUUUCUCAAGGCAUGUUGGGAUACUAUCAAGCCGGACAUCAUGCUUGCCAUCAACCAUUUCUCUGAUCUCCAUGCUGCACACUUUCAUUGGUUGAACUCUGCCGACAUUUCUCUCAUUCCGAAGAAGGAUGGUGCCGAGGACAUUGGUGAUUUUCGUCCCAUCAGUCUUAUCCAUGUUAUUGCUAAGCUAAUUGCUAAGAUGAUGUCCAACCGGCUUGCCCCGCACAUGAAUGAGCUUGUCUCACACGCUCAAAGUGCAUUUAUUAAAAGAAGAUGCAUCCAUGACAACUUCAUGUAUGUGCGCAAUCUCGCGAGACGCUUCCAUCGUAGGAAAACCCCGGCGUUGCUCUUCAAACUUGACAUCAAAAAAGCCUUUGACUCGGUGCGUUGGGACUUCCUCCUCGACCUACUUCGACACCUUGGUUUCCCACCUCGCUUCAGAGGUUGGGUUUCAGCCCUGCUAUCCUCGGCUUCCUCUCGUGUUCUGCUCAAUGGCGUG
RNAcentral lists this ribosomal RNA (567 nucleotides) under Triticum aestivum (bread wheat). RNAcentral describes it as "partial small subunit ribosomal RNA". Lineage: Eukaryota; Viridiplantae; Streptophyta; Magnoliopsida; Poales; Poaceae. The record is from RNAcentral.